CAGUAGCCGCGGUAAUACGGAGGGGGCUAGCGUUGUUCGGAAUUACUGGGCGUAAAGCGCACGUAGGCGGCUUGGUAAGUUAGAGGUGAAAGCCUGGAGCUCAACUCCAGAAUUGCCUUUAAGACUGCCGAGCUAGCAGGUGAGAGAGGUAAGUGGAAUUCCGAGUGUAGAGGUGAAAUUCGUAGAUAUUUGGAAGAACACCAGUGGCGAAGGCGGCUUACUGGCUCAUACUGGACGCUGAGGUGCGAAAGCGUGGGGAGCAAACAGGAUUAGAUACCCGCGUAGUCCCUGUCUCUUAUAC
This 301-nucleotide ribosomal RNA is filed under the name uncultured bacterium. Its description in RNAcentral is "partial 16S ribosomal RNA". It matches the Rfam family "Bacterial small subunit ribosomal RNA", at positions 509 to 807 of the family's 1533-position model. The record is from RNAcentral.